AGAAGUGGGGGAGGGGAGGAACUUGCCUUCCUUAAGAUUAUCUCUUGAUACUUCGUUCUUCAGUGGACUGAGGUCUCUCCUGGAGUAGCCGAUAAGGUUGGCAGAAGCUUUGGGUAGGACUUUGUUGGCGUUUGAGCCAUGGCCUGGGCAAGCUGAGCGAUGGGUCUCUGGAGCUCAGGAGGUUUGGGUUGGCCUCUGACAUCUCUCUUCAUCACCACGGCACUGCGCUGCUGUUCAGGGAGAGCUACAUCUAAUUCCCAGCUGAGACUGAGCUGUCAAACAGGAAGUCAAACAAUGCCUUUUUUGAAGGACUGGUUCUUAUUCUGAGGUUGAAACCACAAUCGCUGGAGAUGGUUGAUGUCAGCACCAUCUUCUGGUUGACUAGCGGAAGACGCCUCCCAUGAAAGGAAAGCGACUGUGUCUCUGGGCUGGUGUUUCCAGUGAAGGGGCAGCAGAAUGGACAGCUUUGCCUUCGAGUCUUAGACCACUUCCUACUGCUAUGAUGACUAAGUACUUGAGGCUGGGGAAUCAUAAACAUGGACCCAGGGAAGGUCAGAACCAGGUGGCUGCACCUGUUAGCAUCUGGUGAAGCAGUAUACCAUGCAGCUGAGGUCACAUAGUGGGGGGGGGGUGGUGGUGGUGUGCAGUAAUGAACACGGAUAAAGGGGACAGAGGGGCUGGCCACUUUCUAACAACCCAUUCCAGAGAACAAAUCCAUUCCUUCGAAGAUUACUAGUCUUGCCCAGAUGUGAUACACAUCUGUCAUCCCAAAUGAAGGCAGUUUAGUAGAUCAAGCCCAGCCUGGGUUACUCAAGACUUUGCCUCAAUAUGAUUUUGUCCUUGUGUUUCCUAUUUACUUUGUAUUUUCUAUUCAUUAACAUUAACCUCACAGCUAACCACACUAACAGGCAUUUUCUUCCUGAGGCAUGUCUUUCAGGACUUAGACGCUCAUGAUACUAGAUAGCCCUUCAGCAUGAUACACCGAAAUCACCAACAAAAAAGAAAAAGGCAGGCCAGGGGUAUAGCUUAAGAUAGAGGGCUUCCUUAAUGUGUUCUUGAAAUUCGGUUCCACUCAUAGCAACACAUGCACCGCCCUCCCCUCCCCCCCCCAAGACACACACACAUACAUACCACACAGGCAUACAGAUAAGAGAGUAUUUCUCUGUUUGACCUCAGCUGGAAAAUGUUUGUUGGUAAUUCUUUUAUCCUCCCAGGUGCACACAUGUCCACACCCGACCAAGAAAACACCCUGAAUAUUGAUUUGGGGGAUUAUCAGUGACCUUCAGUAAGCAGGAAAAUUCAGGUAUUCAGAAUUGGUGUGGUGAGGAUUACCUGGAUGUUAAGUGUCCAUUUGCUAAAUGCUCAGGGAACGGCUGCAAGAGAAGUCAAACAUAUGUGCUGUUUGCUGUCAGAUUGCCCAGAGACCAGGCCAGGGCCGGAAAACAAACCAACAACUUGCUCUGCAAACAAAUAAAUUCAUCAUUACAAACUGUGGCCAGGGCCCUAAGGGUACUGAGGAGGUUCAGUGUUGAGAGUGGUAGAUGCCUGGGUGGUUGGGAGUGAGCUCUGUGAAACAUAAGGGUUGGGAGAAGCUAGCUGUGACAAGAGGAGCAGGGGAAGUCACAGGGUCUGCAUUAGCCAUGGCCCUGUGAUAGGAACGCCUGGCAUGCUUUCCAUUCUCACUCCACGGACUCGGAUCUUCCUCGUUACUACAAACACUGUUCCAGCCGAGUGACUUUCUCAGACAUCUGCUCAGCUUGCGCCUGUCUCUUUCCAGAUGUCAAUCAAGUUUCCCCCAUCAUCCUAAUUAAAAUACAACCCCCCACACACUUCCACUCCUCUUUCAUCUCUGCAUCAACUGCCC
RNAcentral lists this long non-coding RNA (1864 nucleotides) under Mus musculus (house mouse). RNAcentral's name for it is "long non-coding RNA chr16:91964403-91966267". The record is from RNAcentral. Lineage: Eukaryota; Metazoa; Chordata; Mammalia; Rodentia; Muridae.